GACCAUAGCUUCUCCUCCUGUGUCACUGCUCCUGCUGUGCUCUCCACCUGGCAUGCCUGCCUUUGUAUCUCUGCAAGUCAAAAAUUCUACUGACUCCAAAGCUAAGGAUUGUAAUCAUGAAUUUAUCAGUAGGAACAAAACUACAGAGCUCACCUGUAUUGUCACCAAGUGGUGCUGGCAAUAAGGAGUCAAGAACCUUGGCUUGGAGAUACGGUGGAAAAAUAAUAGGUGCCAAGACAGACAAGAUAGAGGGCAGAUAAAGGCUCAUCCCUUGUUAAAUUGGAAGGAAUCUUUGCUAGGGCAGUUGGAAUCAUAAUAAAGGAAAAUGCAUGUGAGCUUUUGUUGCAAACAUUUAUUUUAAGAUUUAUUUAUUUAUUCAUGAG
This 383-nucleotide long non-coding RNA is filed under the name Canis lupus familiaris (dog). RNAcentral describes it as "lncRNA (ENSCAFG00000051710.1, ENSCAFG00845000365.1)". Lineage: Eukaryota; Metazoa; Chordata; Mammalia; Carnivora; Canidae. The record is from RNAcentral.